AAAGACAGAAAGAGAGAGGUGGACAGAAAGAGAGAGAUAGGCAGAAAGAGAGAGAUGGACAGAAAGAGAGAGAUGGACAGAAAGAGAGAGAUGGACAGAAAGAGAGAGAUGGACAGAAAGAGAGAGAUGGACAGAAAGAGAGAGAUAGGCAGAAAGAGAGAGAUAGACAGAAAGAGAGAGAUGGACAGAAAGAGAGAGAUGGACAGAAAGACAGAAAGAGAGAGGUGGACAGAAAGAGAGAGAUAGGCAGAAAGAGAGAGAUAGACAGAAAGAGAGAGAUGGACAGAAAGAGAGAGAUGGACAGAAAGAGAGAGAUAGACAGAAAGAGAGAGAUGGACAGAAAGAGAGAGAUGGACAGAAAGAGAGAGAUGGACAGAAAGAGAUAGAUAGACAGAAAGAGAGAGAUGGACAGAAAGAGAGAUGGACAGAAAGAGAGAGAUAGACAGAAAGAGAGAGGUGGACAGAAAGAGAGAGAUAGGCAGAAAGAGAGAGAUAGGCAGAAAGAGAGAGAUAGGCAGAAAGAGAGAGAUAGGCAGAAAGAGAGAGAUAGACAGAAAGAGAGAGAUAGACAGAAAAAGAGAGAGAUGGACAGAAAGAGAGAGAUGGACAGAAAGAGAGAGAUGGACAGAAAGAGAGAGAUGGACAGAAAGACAGAAAGAGAGAGGUGGACAGAAAGAGAGAGAUAUGCAGAAAGAGAGAGAUACACAGAAAGAGAGAGAUAGGCAGAAGGAGAGAGAUAGGCAGAAAGAGAGAGAUAGACAGAAAAAGAGAGAGAUGGACAGAAAGAGAGAGAUGGACAGAAAGAGAGAGAUGGACAGAAAGAGAGAGAUGGACAGAAAGAGAGAGAUGGACAGAAAGAGAGAGAUGGACAGAAAGAGAGAGAUGGACAGAAAGAGAGAGAUGGACAGAAAGAGAGAGAUAGACAGAAAGAGAGAGAUAGACAGAAAAAGAGAGAGAUGGACAGAAAAA
Long non-coding RNA from Oncorhynchus keta (chum salmon), 969 nucleotides. RefSeq lists it as uncharacterized. The record is from RefSeq and is a predicted model, not a curated record. The transcript is spliced from 3 exons. NCBI's taxonomy places the organism in Eukaryota, Metazoa, Chordata, Actinopteri, Salmoniformes, Salmonidae.